ACGCUCUGGAGUUGGGGGUGGGGGAUCUAACUACCCAAACCUCCCCAGGAAGGCCGCAUCCAGGCGCAGGGAUGACCCAGCACUUACUAUCUACUCACACCCACAUUGUGGUGGUGGACAAGUGGGAUCUGGGGCUUGGGGGUGAUGGACUGUGCCCUGGGGUUCAUGGCAGCACCUGGAGAAUGGGCUUCCCCAAAGCACCAGGCCAUGCACCUCAAAGCUGGACAUGAGUUGACCAAGGUUUCCCUUUGCCCACAAAGAGGGAUGCAGUAACAUGUCAGAUGGUGGUUUGCAUCCCUUUUUUUUGAGAUGGAGUCUCGCGCCCGGAGGUGUCCUCGCGCCGCGCUGCUCCUGCCGCCUCGGGGGUGAGAGAGGGCGCGCCACCCGGACCCCCGGCCUGGGUCCCCCAGCUCCCCAGGCUUGAGUGCCAGGUCCCCCAUCCCAGACAAAUGGUUAUUCACACCUGGCCACAGCAGCCAGACACCAAACGACAGCCCUGGUAACAGGGUCCGCAGGAGGGUGGUUGGCUGGGCAGGACAUCAGGCCCAGCCCUGCCCCUGAGGAGCUCCC
RNAcentral lists this long non-coding RNA (570 nucleotides) under Homo sapiens (human). Its description in RNAcentral is "non-protein coding lnc-ARVCF-1:6". The record is from RNAcentral. Lineage: Eukaryota; Metazoa; Chordata; Mammalia; Primates; Hominidae.